CCUACGAGUGGCAGCAGUGAGGAAUAUUGGUCAAUGGGCGCGAGCCUGAACCAGCCAAGUAGCGUGAAGGAUGACUGCCCUACGGGUUGUAAACUUCUUUUAUAAAGGAAUAAAGUGCGGCACGUGUGCCUUUUUGUAUGUACUUUAUGAAUAAGGAUCGGCUAACUCCGUGCCAGCAGCCGCGGUAAUACGGAGGAUCCGAGCGUUAUCCGGAUUUAUUGGGUUUAAAAGGAGCGUAGAUGGGUUGUUAAGUCAGUUGUGAAAGUUUGCGGCUCAACCGUAAAAUUGCAAUUGAUACUGGCAGUCUUGAGGACAGUUGAGGUAGGCGGAAUUCGUGGUGUAGCGGUGAAAUGCUUAGAUAUCACGAAGAACUCCGAGUGCGAAGGCAGCUUACUAAACUGCCACUGACAUUGAUGCUCGAAAGUGUGGGUAUCAAACAGGAUUAGAUACCCCAGUAGUC
Molecule: ribosomal RNA, 460 nt
Filed under: uncultured bacterium
Lineage: Bacteria
Description: partial 16S ribosomal RNA
Rfam family: Bacterial small subunit ribosomal RNA
Source: RNAcentral